Molecule: long non-coding RNA, 674 nt
Organism: Daphnia pulicaria
Lineage: Eukaryota; Metazoa; Arthropoda; Branchiopoda; Diplostraca; Daphniidae
Exons: 3
Source: RefSeq, a predicted model, not a curated record
AGAGGGAUGUAGGGAGGUGGGUCAUCAAACUGUCAAAGUCCUGAGAUGACUGACAACACGUUCUUUCUUUUGCUGUGGAAACGCUGUCCGAGAAGGAUGAAUUUAGUCAUUGCUGGGUACUCUCUUACGUGACAUGUUUGUUCAUAGGCAUGGAUUUCUUGGUUAGUUUGAUGUUUGGAGCUGCCAAUGGUGUUGAUGCAGCGUUCAUGGUGUGAGCAGUGGUUUUGUAGUCAUUUUCCAGUCGAGAUGUCUUGAAAUGGAGCUUGUGCAGACAUUCAGUUCAACAUCAUACUUCAAUGUGUUAUUUGCCUAUGUUGGUGUUUUUGCAGUGUUGACCUGUUGUACAAAAUAGUCGAUGUUGCCUGGUGGCUGUUGGGUAUGUUUUAUCGGCUGCCUUUUGUCGAUGUGUCGUCUCGUCUCUUGCCACCUGUAAACACGUUAAGUUCAAUCGUACGCUGCCGUUCCAGAUUUGAUCGAUUGGUGAAGCCGAAAAGAGGUUGCUGUAAUUCAAGACUGAAAAAUUAAUUAGACUGGACAAUUUACAAAUGGAUAUCUGUUGUCCCUUUUUCCCUGAGUAAACAGCAUGUCCGCCGUUGGUUAUUCGUCUGGUCGAAAGGGAAAUAGCAAUGAGAAGUUCUGAUGUAUUUUUGGAGAAAGAUUAGUUUGACCACGAA